RNAcentral lists this ribosomal RNA (253 nucleotides) under uncultured bacterium. RNAcentral's name for it is "partial 16S ribosomal RNA". It matches the Rfam family "Bacterial small subunit ribosomal RNA", at positions 524 to 776 of the family's 1533-position model. The record is from RNAcentral.
UACAGAGGUGGCAAGCGUUGUCCGGAUUUACUGGGUGUAAAGGGUGCGUAGGCGGAUUUGCAAGUCGGGGGUUAAAGACUCUUGCUUAACAAGAGAAAUGCCUUCGAUACUGCAUGUCUAGAGUGCCGAAGAGGAAACUGGAAUUUCCGGUGUAGCGGUGGAAUGUGUAGAGAUCGGAAAGAACACCAGUGGCGAAGGCAGGUUUCUGGUCGGUAACUGACGCUGAUGCACGAAAGCGUGGGGAGCAAACAGG